Molecule: ribosomal RNA, 517 nt
Filed under: uncultured bacterium
Lineage: Bacteria
Description: bacterial SSU rRNA
Rfam family: Bacterial small subunit ribosomal RNA
Source: RNAcentral
GUUGAUAUGGCUCAGGAUGGACGCUAGCGACAGGCUUAACACAUGCAAGCGAGGGGCAGCAUAAAAGUAGCAAUACGUUGGUGGCGACCGGCGCGACGGGUGAGUAACGCGUAUGCAACCUACCUAUCAGAGGGGAAUAACCCGGCGAAAGUCGGACUAAUACCGCAUAAAACAGGGACACCGCAUGGUGAUAUUUGUUAAAGAAAUUCGCUGAUAGAUGGGCAUGCGUUCCAUUAGGUAGUUGGUGAGGUAACGGCUCACCAAGCCGACGAUGGAUAGGGGAACUGAGAGGUUGGUCCCCCACACUGGUACUGAGACACGGACCAGACUCCUACGGGAGGCAGCAGUGAGGAAUAUUGGUCAAUGGGCGAGAGCCUGAACCAGCCAAGUCGCGUGAAGGGAAAAGAAGGAUCUAUGGUUCGUAAACUUCUUUUGCGAGGGGAAUAAAGUGCAGGACGUGUCCUGUUUUGUAUGUACCCUGAGAAUAAGGAUCGGCUAACUCCGUGCCAGCAGCAGC